GUGGCAGCCGCCGCGGUAAAACCAGCACCUCAAGUGGUCAGGAUGAUUAUUGGGCCUAAAGCAUCCGUAGCCGGCUCUGUAAGUUUUCGGUUAAAUCUGUACGCUUAACGUACAGGCUGCCGGGAAUACUGCAGAGCUAGGGAGUGGGAGAGGUAGACGGUACUCGGGAGGAAGUGGUAAAAUGCUUUGAUCUCUCGAUGACCACCUGUGGCGAAGGCGGUCUACCAGAACACGUCCGACGGUGAGGGAUGAAAGCUGGGGGAGCGAACCGGAUUAGAUACCCGGGUAGUCCCAGCUGUAAACUAUGCAAACUCAGUGCUGCAUUGGCUUGUGGCCAAUGCAGUGUUGCAGGGAAGCCGUUAAGUUUGCCGCCUGGGAAGUACGUACGCAAGUAUGAAACUUAAAGGAAUUGGCGGGGGAGCACCACAAGGGGUGAAGCCUGCGGUUCAAUUGGAGUCAACGCCAGAAAUCUUACCCGGAGAGACAGCAGAAUGAAGGUCAAGCUGAAGACUUUACCAGACAAGCUGAGAGGUGGUGCAUGGCCGUCGCCAGCUCGUGCCGUGAGAUGUCCUGUUAAGUCAGGUAACGAGCGAGAUCCCUGCCUCUAGUUGCCACCAUUACUCUCAGGAGUAGUGGGGCGAAUUAGCGGGACCGCCGCAGUUAAUGCGGAGGAAGGAAGGGGCCACGGCAGGUCAGUAUGCCCCGAAACUCUGGGGCCACACGCGGGCUGCAAUGGUAAUGACAACGGGUCCCGAAUCCGAAAGGAAGAGGUAAUCCUCAAACAUUACCACAGUUAUGACUGAGGGCUGCAACUCGCCCUCACGAAUAUGGAAUCCCUAGUAACUGCGUGUCAUUAUCGCGCGGUGAAUACGUCCCUGCUCCUUGCACACACCGCCCGUC
This 900-nucleotide ribosomal RNA is filed under the name uncultured archaeon. Its description in RNAcentral is "bacterial SSU rRNA". It matches the Rfam family "Archaeal small subunit ribosomal RNA", at positions 455 to 1354 of the family's 1478-position model. The record is from RNAcentral.